GUGCACCAGUCGCGAAACCUCCGCAAUGCGCGAAAGCGCGACGGGGCCACCCCGAGUGCCGCCCGCUGAGGGCGGCUUUUCCCCGGUGUAGAUAGCCGGGGGAAUAAGGGGAGGGCAAGUCUGGUGUCAGCCGCCGCGGUAAUACCAGCUCCCCGAGUGGUGGGGACGAUUAUUGGGCCUAAAGCGUCCGUAGCCGGCCCGGCAAGUCUCCCGUUAAAUCCAGCGAUCUAAUCGCUGGACUGCGGGAGAUACUGUCGGGCUAGGGGGCGGGAGAGGCCGGCGGUAUUCCCGGGGUAGGGGUGAAAUCCUAUAAUCCCGGGAGGACCACCAGUGGCGAAGGCUGCCGGCUGGAACGCGCCCGACGGUGAGGGACGAAAGCCGGGGGAGCGAACCGGAUUAGAUACCCGCGUAGUCCCUUA
Molecule: ribosomal RNA, 419 nt
Filed under: uncultured microorganism
Description: bacterial SSU rRNA
Rfam family: Archaeal small subunit ribosomal RNA
Source: RNAcentral